Molecule: ribosomal RNA, 262 nt
Filed under: uncultured bacterium
Lineage: Bacteria
Description: partial 16S ribosomal RNA
Rfam family: Bacterial small subunit ribosomal RNA
Source: RNAcentral
CGACCGGCGCACGGGUGAGUAACACGUAUCCAACCUGCCCUUUACUCGGGGAUAGCCUUUCGAAAGAAAGAUUAAUACCCGAUGGCAUAAUGAUUCCGCAUGGUUUCAUUAUUAAAGGAUUCCGGUAAAGGAUGGGGAUGCGUUCCAUUAGGUUGUUGGUGAGGUAACGGCCCACCAAGCCUUCGAUGGAUAGGGGUUCUGAGAGGAAGGUCCCCCACAUUGGAACUGAGACACGGUCCAAACUCCUACGGGAGGCAGCAUG